RNAcentral lists this non-coding RNA (162 nucleotides) under bovine gut metagenome. RNAcentral describes it as "Lysine riboswitch". It matches the Rfam family "Lysine riboswitch aptamer". From Rfam's summary of the family: Riboswitches are metabolite binding domains within certain messenger RNAs that serve as precision sensors for their corresponding targets. The record is from RNAcentral.
UUGAUAGAGGCGCGGUGUUCAUCAGUACCGCCCGGCAAGGCCAGGCAGCCGCCGGAGAGAAAGGGAACAUCGCCGAAGAACCGCCGCCUUGCCUGACGCGCCGGUUCUGGGCCGCUCGAGAAGAUCGUGCGGACUGUCACAAGUCUUUGUGGAGCGCUAUCG